UACGAAGGGGGCUAGCGUUGCUCGGAAUCACUGGGCGUAAAGCGCACGUAGGCGGCUUUUUAAGUCAGGGGUGAAAUCCUGGAGCUCAACUCCAGAACUGCCUUUGAUACUGAGAGGCUUGAGUCCGGGAGAGGUGAGUGGAACUGCGAGUGUAGAGGUGAAAUUCGUAGAUAUUCGCAAGAACACCAGUGGCGAAGGCGGCUCACUGGCCCGAUACUGACGCUGAGGAGCGAAAGCGUGGGGAGCGAACAGG
RNAcentral lists this ribosomal RNA (253 nucleotides) under uncultured bacterium. RNAcentral describes it as "partial 16S ribosomal RNA". It matches the Rfam family "Bacterial small subunit ribosomal RNA", at positions 524 to 776 of the family's 1533-position model. The record is from RNAcentral.